Small nucleolar RNA from Sphaeramia orbicularis (orbiculate cardinalfish), 127 nucleotides. Its record names the gene SNORA71. It matches the Rfam family "Small nucleolar RNA SNORA71". From Rfam's summary of the family: The members of this family belong to the H/ACA class of snoRNAs which bind a number of proteins (including dyskerin, Gar1p and Nop10p) to form snoRNP complexes. The record is from Ensembl. NCBI's taxonomy places the organism in Eukaryota, Metazoa, Chordata, Actinopteri, Kurtiformes, Apogonidae.
UCCUGUAUCGAAAGUGGUCAUGGCAUCUCUGUUGCCAGGUCAUUGAUAGUACAGGAACAACAAACUGAGAUCUUUCCCGUGUUCAAAGGAUGACAUGUUCCUUUUUGAACCCUGGUGCUCUCAAACA